GAAACACGAAGUUGCAGUAAACAAUACUAUACAAUGCAACUGUUUUACCAGUUUAUGGACAGAAAUCAAAUUGUGUUUGAAAGAAGAAACUAACAAUACAUUAUGAAGAGUGAUGGAUGGAGUUAAAGCAAAAGAUCCUGUGCGGGUUACUUUCACUUUAUAUCCAUUAGGAAGGGUUACAAGGUAUGGCACAGUUAAGGGUGUGAUAUAAAAGAGUAAGUCUUUAUUUUGUGUCAUAUGGUUAGAUUACCCUAAGUCUAUUAUCCAGGUGACAGAAUUAAUGUGUGUAAGCAUGCAAAAUUUGGAAUCAAAAACAGGGUUCUCAGUUAGCAUAGUAGCAGCAAAAUUGGCAGCAUACAUGGGAGGAGGAGUUUGGGCAGUGGAGUCCCCUAACUGGGUUUGUUGUAGCAAGGUCAUCAACUUAGCAUAGUACCAGCAAAAUUGGCAGCAUACAUGGGAGGAGGAGUCUGGGCAGUGGAGCCCCCUAACUGGGUUUGUUGUAGCAAGGUCAUCAAUUGAUCAUAUUGUUGUCUGCUCAACCCAGGUAUCACAGAACUCUGGCCAUCCAUAUUUGGAACAGGGUGAUCACUUUCAGGAGGAUUUCCAUGAGAAACAGACAUAUUUCCUUUAGAAGAAGGGAAAUCCACACCAGCAGUUAGAUGAGCAGCAGGUCUUCUCCCCUUGUUAAAUGUUGUACUUUGUGGAUACCCGUGAAUCUUGUAACACUUAUCAAUUAAGUGCCCAGAUUUUUUGCAGUAUCUACAGAAUAAAGAGNN
Molecule: long non-coding RNA, 776 nt
Filed under: Nicotiana benthamiana
Lineage: Eukaryota; Viridiplantae; Streptophyta; Magnoliopsida; Solanales; Solanaceae
Description: long non-coding RNA (NBEN_LNC018519)
Source: RNAcentral